Molecule: unclassified non-coding RNA, 313 nt
Filed under: uncultured fungus
Lineage: Eukaryota; Fungi
Description: partial contains small subunit ribosomal RNA, internal transcribed spacer 1, and 5.8S ribosomal RNA
Rfam family: Eukaryotic small subunit ribosomal RNA (bases 1-73)
Source: RNAcentral
UCAAACUUGGUCAUUUAGAGGAAGUAAAAGUCGUAACAAGGUUUCCGUAGGUGAACCUGCGGAAGGAUCAUUAACGAGGUUGUGUGAUAAGUGAGUGUUGGUUGGCGCAAGCUGGCGUACACGAACGGGGUUCCCGCAAGGGAACCUUUUGCGUGUGGUGGUAUGGGUGAGUAUUGUAGUGAGCAUUAUGUUUGCUGUGAUGCGCAUUCUGACCCUGCACGCGAAAUUGACUAGCGUAUUGACUGAAAUAAAAACAACGAAAACAACUUUUAACAAUGGAUCUCUUGGCUCUUGCAUCGAUGAAGAACGCAGC